AAAGUAUUUAAAUUUUAUAAACCAAACAUUUUUCCAAUAUAAAGCUCAAUUGAAGCAAAAAAUACACAAAAGAAAAAAGAUGGCUGAAGAUAUGAAGAAUGAGAUUCAAGAUCUGUUAACUAAACCUAUUACUCCAAGUGAAGAACCUGCUAAAGAAUCAUCAGAAAAAGAACAAGGACAAGGGAUAGUAGUUAUAAAUGAUCAACAAGAUGAAGCAAAAGAAGUAGAAGAUGAGAAGUUGGUGCAUGUAGUUGAAAAAGCAAAAUUUCCAACACCUCCUGGCAAACGACCUGGUCCUACCAUUGGUUGAAAUAAUAAUAUAAUUAUAAAUACAACUUUUGGAAAUUUUAAUUGCCUCUCUUUUUAUCGUUAAGUAGCUGAAAUAAUAAGAUACUUAGUGAGUAUUGAAAUCGACUUGACAGAAAGUAAUAUUAUUUUCACUUUUAAUAUACUUUAUCAAUAUGAUGUGGAAACAUACAUAUUAUGUAAUAAUAUACAACUUGUGUGUUGGCGUGGAUCGAAAGACUUUGCUUUAUAUCAUUUUUUAAGGUUGGUUUGGAA
This is a long non-coding RNA of Solanum pennellii, 561 nucleotides long. RefSeq lists it as uncharacterized. The transcript is spliced from 2 exons. Lineage: Eukaryota; Viridiplantae; Streptophyta; Magnoliopsida; Solanales; Solanaceae. The record is from RefSeq and is a predicted model, not a curated record.